UACGUAGGGGGCAAGCGUUGUCCGGAAUCAUUGGGCGUAAAGCGCGCGUAGGCGGCCCGGUAAGUCCGUUGUGAAAGUCAAAGGCUCAACCUUUGAACGCCGAUGGAUACUGCCGGGCUAGAGUCCGGAAGAGGCGAGUGGAAUUCCUGGUGUAGCGGUGGAAUGCGCAGAUAUCAGGAGGAACACCAAUAGCGAAGGCAGCUCGCUGGGACGGUACUGACGCUGAGACGCGAAAGCGUGGGGAGCAAACAGG
This 253-nucleotide ribosomal RNA is filed under the name uncultured bacterium. RNAcentral describes it as "partial 16S ribosomal RNA". It matches the Rfam family "Bacterial small subunit ribosomal RNA", at positions 524 to 776 of the family's 1533-position model. The record is from RNAcentral.